UGGGGAAUCUUGGACAAUGGGGGAAACCCUGAUCCAGCGACGCCGCGUGAUCGAUGAAGGCCUUCGGGUCGUAAAGAUCUUUCAGCGGGGACUAUUAUGAAGGUACCCGCAGAAGCAGGAGCGGCUAACUAUGUGCCAGCAGCCGCGGUAAUACAUAGGCUCCAAGCGUUGUUCGGAAUUACUGGGCGUAAAGCGAGUGUAGGCGGUGCGAUAAGUCGAUUGUGAAAUCUCCCGGCUCAACCGGGAGGGUGCGGUCGAAACUGUCGGACUGGAGUCCGAGAGGGGAGAGUGGAAUUCCUGGUGUAGCGGUGAAAUGCGUAGAUAUCAGGAGGAACAUCGGUGGUGAAGACGGCUCUCUGGAUCGUGACUGACGCUGAGACUCGAAAGCGUGGGGAGCAAACAGGAUUAGAUACCCCCGUAGUCC
This 424-nucleotide ribosomal RNA is filed under the name uncultured prokaryote. Its description in RNAcentral is "bacterial SSU rRNA". It matches the Rfam family "Bacterial small subunit ribosomal RNA", at positions 355 to 796 of the family's 1533-position model. The record is from RNAcentral.